UUGUUGCCAGCGAUUAGGUCGGGAACUCAAAGGAGACUGCCAGUGAUAAACUGGAGGAAGGUGGGGAUGACGUCAAGUCAUCAUGGCCCUUACGACCAGGGCUACACACGUGCUACAAUGGCGCAUACAAAGAGAAGCGACCUCGCGAGAGCAAGCGGACCUCAUAAAGUGCGUCGUAGUCCGGAUUGGAGUCUGCAACUCGACUCCAUGAAGUCGGAAUCGCUAGUAAUCGUGGAUCAGAAUGCCACGGUGAAUACGUUCCCGGGCCUUGUACACACCGCCCGUCACACCAUGGGAGUGGGUUGCAAAAGAAGUAGGUAGCUUAACCUUCGGGAGGGCGCUUACCACUUUGUGAUUCAUGACUGGGGUGAAGUCGUAACAAGGUAACCGUAGGGGAACCUGCGGUUGGA
RNAcentral lists this ribosomal RNA (410 nucleotides) under Salmonella enterica subsp. enterica serovar Abony. Its description in RNAcentral is "bacterial SSU rRNA". It matches the Rfam family "Bacterial small subunit ribosomal RNA", at positions 1112 to 1522 of the family's 1533-position model. Lineage: Bacteria; Pseudomonadati; Pseudomonadota; Gammaproteobacteria; Enterobacterales; Enterobacteriaceae. The record is from RNAcentral. RNAcentral also lists the same sequence under 5 other names.